GAUGAACGCUGGCGGCGUGCCUAAUACAUGCAAGUCGAGCGAACAGACGAGGAGCUUGCUCCUCUGACGUUAGCGGCGGACGGGUGAGUAACACGUGGAUAACCUACCUAUAAGACUGGGAUAACUUCGGGAAACCGGAGCUAAUACCGGAUAAUAUAUUGAACCGCAUGGUUCAAUAGUGAACGACGGUUUUGCUGUCACUUAUAGAUGGAUCCGCGCCGCAUUAGCUAGUUGGUAAGGUAACGGCUUACCAAGGCGACGAUGCGUAGCCGACCUGAGAGGGUGAUCGGCCACACUGGAACUGAGACACGGUCCAGACUCCUACGGGAGGCAGCAGUAGGGAAUCUUGCGCAAUGGGCGAAAGCCUGACGGAGCAACGCCGCGUGAGUGAUGAAGGUCUUCGGAUCGUAAAACUCUGUUAUUAGGGAAGAACAAAUGUGUAAGUAACUAUGCACGUCUUGACGGUACCUAAUCAGAAAGCCACGGCUAACUACGUG
RNAcentral lists this ribosomal RNA (497 nucleotides) under uncultured bacterium. RNAcentral's name for it is "partial 16S ribosomal RNA". It matches the Rfam family "Bacterial small subunit ribosomal RNA", at positions 28 to 507 of the family's 1533-position model. The record is from RNAcentral.